GCCGGGCGUGGUUGUGCGCACCUGUAGUCCCAGCUACUCAGGAGGCUGAGGCAGGGGAAUUGCUUGAACCCAGGAGGCUGAGGUUGCAGUGAGCCGAGAUCACAUCACUGCACUCCAGCCUGGGCAACAGAGCAAGACUCUGUCUCAA
Molecule: non-coding RNA, 148 nt
Organism: Homo sapiens (human)
Lineage: Eukaryota; Metazoa; Chordata; Mammalia; Primates; Hominidae
Rfam family: Metazoan signal recognition particle RNA
About the family: The signal recognition particle (SRP) is a universally conserved ribonucleoprotein. It is involved in the co-translational targeting of proteins to membranes.
Source: Rfam